Long non-coding RNA from Camelus dromedarius (Arabian camel), 514 nucleotides. RefSeq lists it as uncharacterized. NCBI's taxonomy places the organism in Eukaryota, Metazoa, Chordata, Mammalia, Artiodactyla, Camelidae. The transcript is spliced from 2 exons. The record is from RefSeq and is a predicted model, not a curated record.
UAAACAGGCAGAACAGUACGUGCUGGCUCCGCCCUCGGGAAGUUCAGGAGGGGAGACCUGGGAAAGGUGACCUUGCAGCACAGAGGCGCCUAGGACUGGAAGCAAUCCCAGCCACAGUCGGAGGCAGACAAUCGCAGCCGUUCCUCCUUCACUAUUCCUCUGUAUUCUGGUCCGCGGGAUCACUGGGGUUGGAAGAGACUGGUUUGACUCGUUUUGCUGUUUUCGGCAGUAAUUCACAUGCCUCCGGCCCCUGCCAGGUCCCGGAGAGCCUCUGCCCACGGAUGACUCUGUAAUGACCUGCUGCUCACAUGCUGUUACAAGAUAUUGGACAUAGCGUCCUGUGCUCUACAGGAGGACCUUGCUGUUUACCUAUUUUAUGUAUAGUAGUUAGUAUCUGCAAAUUCCAAAGUCCCAGUUUAUACUUCUCCACCCCCUUUCCCCUCAGUUACCAUAAGUUUCUUUUCUAUGUCUGUGAGUCUGUCUCUGUUUUGUAAAUAAAUUCAUUUGUGUGUCU